RNAcentral lists this ribosomal RNA (854 nucleotides) under Crystallibacter crystallopoietes. Its description in RNAcentral is "bacterial SSU rRNA". It matches the Rfam family "Bacterial small subunit ribosomal RNA", at positions 67 to 930 of the family's 1533-position model. Lineage: Bacteria; Bacillati; Actinomycetota; Actinomycetes; Micrococcales; Micrococcaceae. The record is from RNAcentral.
CGAUGAUCCGGUGCUUGCACCGGGGAUUAGUGGCGAACGGGUGAGUAACACGUGAGUAACCUGCCCUUGACUCUGGGAUAAGCCUGGGAAACCGGGUCUAAUACCGGAUACGACCUGUCACCGCAUGGUGGCGGGUGGAAAGAUUUUUUGGUUUUGGAUGGACUCGCGGCCUAUCAGCUUGUUGGUGAGGUAAUGGCUCACCAAGGCGACGACGGGUAGCCGGCCUGAGAGGGUGACCGGCCACACUGGGACUGAGACACGGCCCAGACUCCUACGGGAGGCAGCAGUGGGGAAUAUUGCACAAUGGGCGAAAGCCUGAUGCAGCGACGCCGCGUGAGGGAUGACGGCCUUCGGGUUGUAAACCUCUUUCAGCAGGGAAGAAGCGAAAGUGACGGUACCUGCAGAAGAAGCGCCGGCUAACUACGUGCCAGCAGCCGCGGUAAUACGUAGGGCGCAAGCGUUGUCCGGAAUUAUUGGGCGUAAAGAGCUCGUAGGCGGUUUGUCGCGUCUGCUGUGAAAGCCCGGGGCUCAACCCCGGGUCUGCAGUGGGUACGGGCAGACUAGAGUGCAGUAGGGGAGACUGGAAUUCCUGGUGUAGCGGUGAAAUGCGCAGAUAUCAGGAGGAACACCGAUGGCGAAGGCAGGUCUCUGGGCUGUAACUGACGCUGAGGAGCGAAAGCAUGGGGAGCGAACAGGAUUAGAUACCCUGGUAGUCCAUGCCGUAAACGUUGGGCACUAGGUGUGGGGGACAUUCCACGUUUUCCGCGCCGUAGCUAACGCAUUAAGUGCCCCGCCUGGGGGAGUACGGCCGCAAGGCUAAAACUCAAAGGAAUUGACGGGGGGCCCGCACAAGC